UACGUAGGGUGCAAGCGUUAAUCGGAAUUACUGGGCGUAAAGCGUGCGUAGGCGGUUUGUUAAGUCUGCUGUGAAAUCCCCGGGCUCAACCUGGGAAUGGCAGUGGAUACUGGCAAGCUAGAGUGUGUCAGAGGAUGGUGGAAUUCCCGGUGUAGCGGUGAAAUGCGUAGAGAUCGGGAGGAACAUCAGUGGCGAAGGCGGCCAUCUGGGACAACACUGACGCUGAGGCACGAAAGCGUGGGGAGCAAACAGG
RNAcentral lists this ribosomal RNA (253 nucleotides) under uncultured bacterium. RNAcentral's name for it is "partial 16S ribosomal RNA". It matches the Rfam family "Bacterial small subunit ribosomal RNA", at positions 524 to 776 of the family's 1533-position model. The record is from RNAcentral.